Molecule: long non-coding RNA, 2745 nt
Organism: Taeniopygia guttata (zebra finch)
Lineage: Eukaryota; Metazoa; Chordata; Aves; Passeriformes; Estrildidae
Source: Ensembl
CUGACUGCCAGGAGCUUUAAACACACUUCUUCACAGAAAUGCAUGCCAACACAUCUCUUUUAAACUGUUCUCCUCGUCUCCCAGGUGCCCUUCCUAAAAGAAAAGAUGGUCAUAUCUUUCUAUUCCCUUUUAAAAAUGGCGUUUCAUGACCCAGUUCUGGUGUCUGUAUGUACAGCUUGAGAAGGAGGCUUAAGUAGCUGAUAGGGUUCAAGUGGCCUUCUCAUGGUCCUGUCUGUUUGUUAAUCUGUGUUCACAGGUCUCAGGGGAGAUUUAUAGUGGACAGAAAGUUCUGUUAAUUUUUGGGUUGAAAUAGGCAAUUGAGAAGUUGGUGUAUUAGAUCAUAUUCAUCUUAAUAACAUCAGUCUGCUGGGGGUGCAGACAGCCUUUGUGGCUUCCCAUGAGGAAGGAAGACUUAAGCCAUGACUACCUGGAAUGGAAUGCACUCUUUUAAUGAAUAUGCUUCCUUUGUUCAGGUCCUGAGGUUGGAUUUCUGUUCCAUAGGCUCCGGUUCUUUGAUUAGAUUCACAAGGUCUGUUCUGCCGUACACUUCACUAUGAGUCACCAGAAAUGGGACAUGAAAGUGCUUAAGAAAAAAUUGAAGCCAAGUGACUUAAUCGGUGAUUGAAAUGAGAAACUGAAAAUACACAUUUAGGAAAAAUAAAGUCCCUUUGCAAUUCUGUUCCUUCCUGUCCUCUGUUGUCUGCACAGAAAAACUCCUUGUUAGCCCUCUUGGUAAAAGAGAGAUGGUGCAUCAGGCUGUUUUGAUCACUUGUUUGAACUGGGAAUUCUUUGAGAUGUCACCCACAAGUGCUCUGCAGCCCAUCAUUUUCUGCAGACUGUGUGCAUUUUGUGAUUAUGGCUGUGAGGAGAAACUGUGAGGAUGCUAUGGCCAUGCCAGGGAAGGACAUGUCCUUUGAGGAAGGAACCUCAGGCUAAGUUCAUCAUCCCUGUGCACGCAGAGUUGGUUUGUUUGUUUUAUUUUGCAAAGAAAUUCUUUCCUCCCACUUCAUUUUUAGCUCUCUAUUUACAGGGGUGCAGAUGUGCUGGAGAAGUGUAUUUCAGUUCUCUUCAUAUGUAUAAGCACACACACUUGCAAGCAGUCUUCUAUUUUCAUUCUCUUGUUACGCAUGGGUUUAAAAUUAGUUGUAUUUGUGAACUAAUAUAGUUCAUUGGAAUAAAUUUCAGCUAUUUUUACUCUGUAAUGAGCUUUAUCACCAUGCUCACAAACACUAUUUUUCCUCUAUAGCCUGUUAACAGUGUAAAAUAUUCAUAGUCUUGAUGAUGUGAAAUCUGGCUGAGAGAAAAAAUGGUGUGUGGUAAAUUUAACUGAGGUUCUCUGCUGAUACAUGGUGUAAUACAGUGCCACCAAAGAGGAAAAAUACCUAGAUUUUGAUUGUACCUCGAGACAGGCACUUCAAGAGGUGGGAUUAAAAAAGCCAGCAUUGCUAGUGUUGUAUUAUGGUGUCACAUUCUGAGUUUUUAUACACCUGCAAUUCUGCUUCCCAGGAGUGUGAAGCUGAAGCUUCACUAGAACACUGUGCAUGUCAAGAUGAGGCUCUGCCUUGGGAUGCCAGGAAGAUGGGUGGAGCAUCCUGAGGUCUGUGUGCCUCUGAUUACCACUGUGCUAAAGAGCAAGGCUGGAUUUAGUGCGCAGGAUUUCUACCCAAAACUUGAGUACUGCCUCAUUUUGGUUGCAUAUAGAAUAAAAAAUUUCCUUUGCUUCACAGUAUUUAUAGGAAGGCUUAAUUUCCUUAAUUGCAGUUUCACUGCAGUUUAUAAAGAAAAUACAGCAUGAAGAGUCAUUGUUUUUGUGAUCUGUAUAUCAUGCAUUAGUCGAGGGAGAGUGAGCUUCAAGGUUAGUUGCAUGGCAGUUGUCAUCAGUCUGUGAAACUCUUAUUUUGAGUGACAGCUUUAAUUUGCACUUUAACCCUACUGUUGGCUUUCACUUAAUCUUAUUCCGUGUUCCUGAUCAGUCUAGUAUUUUCUUUUUUGUGGAAGACCAUUAUAGUCUCUUUUCAUAAUUAUAAUUUAAAGGGGGAAUAGGGAAACAUACCUCUGGAGGCCUCUCUUAUUUUCUUAAUAAGCUUUCUGCUUCCCCUGAUUGUUCUGAAUUACAUGUGAAAUACUUAGUUUCUUAUCAAUCAGUCUUUCAGAAGUUGAUUCUGAAAACCUUGUAGACUAUUCUUGUGGAAUUGACAGAAAGAAAAAAGGCUGUAAUAUGUUUUAAAUAUAUUGUUUUCAUUUUCAUUGACUGUUUCUCCUCUUAAAAGAUAGAAGUGCUCAUUUUCUCUUCCAUAUAAUAUUCAUUAUUGCCUGUGUUCAGAGCUAAGUGCUUUUCUAUUAAUCUCUUCUGUAAAUACUACUUUAGCAUUUUGCUUGAGAAGAGCCUUCACAGCCUAUAAUCAUAUUUAUUGCCUCUCCUUUCUCUCUUGUACUUUUCCCUGUGAUUCUAAACUGUUUUCUGGGGCCAUCAAACACAGCAUUCCUGUUGAUGGGACCACACGACUAAUUUUCAAAUUUCAUUGUAUUUCCUGUUUUGUUUUGUGUUUGUUGGAUUGUUUUUUGCUUUUCCUUAUGCUUUGGAACAGUCUGUUUCAAAUAAUGUUUGCUUCUUGACAGCAACUGAGCUGUCCACAGUGAUGCUCUGGUCUUUCUUCUGCAACCUGUACACCAAACUUGUAUGAGCAAUUCACAAGGUUUCUUCUAGUGUCCAUUACUGUGUACUUUUCAACAAAGACUUCCAGC